AUGCGAUAAGUAAUGUGAAUUGCAGAAUUCAGUGAAUCAUCGAAUCUUUGAACGCACCUUGCGCUCCUUGGUAUUCCGAGGAGCAUGCCUGUUUGAGUGUCAUUAAAUUCUCAACCUCACCAGUUUUCUGAACUGUUCUUCGAGGCUUGGAUGUGGGGGUUUGUGCAGGCUGCCUCACGGCGGUCUGCUCCCCUGAAAUGCAUUAGCGAGUUCAUACUGAACUUCCGUCUAUUGGUGUGAUAAUUAUCUACGCCGUGGACGAGGAUCAGACUCGCUUCUAACCGUCCGCGAGGACAAUACCUUGACAAUUUGACCUCAAAUCAGGUAGGACUACCCGCUGAACUUAA
RNAcentral lists this unclassified non-coding RNA (347 nucleotides) under uncultured Coprinellus. RNAcentral describes it as "partial contains 5.8S ribosomal RNA, internal transcribed spacer 2, and large subunit ribosomal RNA". The stretch from base 1 to 102 matches the Rfam family "5.8S ribosomal RNA", at positions 53 to 154 of the family's 154-position model. Lineage: Eukaryota; Fungi; Basidiomycota; Agaricomycetes; Agaricales; Psathyrellaceae. The record is from RNAcentral.